RNAcentral lists this unclassified non-coding RNA (576 nucleotides) under Hevea brasiliensis (rubber tree). The record is from RNAcentral. Lineage: Eukaryota; Viridiplantae; Streptophyta; Magnoliopsida; Malpighiales; Euphorbiaceae.
CAGUCGGCGAUAAUUCUACAAGACAGGUCUUAAACAAACUAGCAUAUGUUUUGUCAUAGAGGGUCUAUUAAUCCACCAUCUAACCAACCCAAGCAAAUAUAUGUUGAUAUGCACUGCAUGGUGAGAAAACUAUUUGAAAAAAGCAUAGUACACAAGACAAUUCUGAAGAAAAACACAGCUCAAAAUAUGUAACUCAGCCCAUUGCCCAGCUACUCCUCGACUGCAUUACUUAUUUCCCCGUGUUCAUCAUCAACGUGAUGUUAUCCCCUUUAAGGAGUAUCUUUCCCAGUGGCUUUCUUGUAUUCUUCUUCACAUUGAUCUCAUCAGCAUCGUCCAGCACCAGAUUCAUGUAUUCAUCAAAACCAAUGAUACGCCCUUCAAUUCUUAAAUCUUUCUGCUCAAAUAGCCAGAUCUGGAUUCGAGCUUUGCUCUGAAGGAACCUGAAGAUGAGAUUGAUGGGUUGGGUCAUGAUCCUCUGGACCUUGGUGGACGCCAUUGCUGCUGGUGCUGUGAGCUCUGCGGCAGCAAGGGAGUGGAGGUGAGCGCUGACCGGCGGAAACCCUAGAAAACUAGGAG